Molecule: ribosomal RNA, 741 nt
Filed under: uncultured bacterium
Lineage: Bacteria
Description: partial 16S small subunit ribosomal RNA
Rfam family: Bacterial small subunit ribosomal RNA
Source: RNAcentral
UGCAGUCGANCGAAGUCUUCGGACUUAGUGGCGCACGGGUGAGUAACGCNNGGGAACCUACCCCUAGGUGCGGAAUAACUUUUGGAAACGAAAGCUAAUACCGCAUAUGCCCCAUUAUCUUGGCGAUAGUGGGGGAAAGAUUUAUCGCCUUGGGAUGGGCCCGCGUUGGAUUAGCUUGUUGGUGAGGUAACGGCUCACCAAGGCUGCGAUCCAUAGCUGGUCUGAGAGGAUGAUCAGCCACACUGGGACCGAGACACGGCCCAGACUCCUACGGGAGGCAGCAGUAGGGAAUAUUGGACAAUGGGCGAAAGCCUGAUCCAGCCAUGCCGCGUGAGUGAUGAAGGCCCUAGGGUUGUAAAGCUCUUUCAACGGUGAAGAUGAUGACGGUAGCCGUAGAAGAAGCCCCGGCUAACUCCGUGCCAGCAGCCGCGGUAAUACGGAGGGGGCGAGCGUUGUUCGGAAUUACUGGGCGUAAAGGGCGCGUAGGCGGCCAGUUGCGUUAGAUGUGAAAGCCCCGGGCUCAACCCGGGAGGUGCAUUUAAUACGGGCUGGCUUGAAUGCGGCAGAGGAUGGUGGANUUCCCAGUGUAGAGGUGAAAUUCGUAGAUAUUGGGAAGAACACCGACNGCNNNNNAGCCAUCUGGGCCGUUAUUGACGCUGAGGCGCGAAAGCGUGGGGAGCGAACAGGANUAGAUACCCUGGUAGUCCACGCCGUANACGAUGUGUGCUGGNCGUCNNUUUA